ACUGUAAUCUAAUUACCGUUUUUGCAAUAGUAAUCCCUUACAUUACUCGUUACUUGAAAAAAGUAAUCAGAUUACAGUAACGCGUUACUGCCCAUCUCUGGCUGUAUAGAUGACUUGAUCUCACAGGUGAGGGACCCAACAGUAAAGCAUGAAAGAAGGAUGGGUUCUUUUUCUGUGGGAGUAUCUGGGGUAGAGAACCUGAAGCACUUAUCAGUUUGAAUGUAAGCCAAGUUUUUCUGAUCAGUUCAAACAACAAAAGGAUGUUCUGCCCCCUCAAGCCAGUGCCUCCAUACCACUAAAGAGUCCUCUAUGUCCUAGUUUCAUUCUGCAGGGGAUAAACUGCAGAAUGCUCCACUGUCAUGGUCCCAAGGGAAGCUGAAGUCCUGCGAGGCAAACUUUCCUGAACCUGGUGGGUCCUGCAGCUUUGGUGUUCUCUCAUGUGGUCAUCUAAAUACAUGCACAUGGGAACAAGCCUGAUCAAGGGUCUCAUGAAAUUCUUUGGUUGCUAAAUCACUUAUAAUAUUGUUAUUUAAUUGAUGGAGGAAUGCGCCCCGAAGAGCUCUUUCUUCUUCACCACCAGAAUCCAAAAAUCGAUGGAGAAGUCAGCCACACUUUGCUUUCCUUUCCUAGUUCCUUUCACAAACACACACGCUCAGGGGGCUCAGAUGGAGUGGAUCGUAGCAAUUAGCCCAACACAUGGUGCUCCACCCAGAACAGAGAAACUGAAGGAUCCAAAGCAGCUGCUUUGAGGUGCACUGGAUCUGAGGGGGCAGUGAUCUUCUGCUCUAGCCAUUCACACACUGAUAGAGAUUCCAAGAAAUCUUUUGUUCACAGACGCUUGGAGACGCCUGACCAGACCAUGCAGGAAACAGACUCUUCUCUACCAACCAACCCCAACCUGUCAGACCUCCACCUCUCCCCUCAACUGUCACUCAGCACCAGAUCUCUGCAGGGCCACAUUCUCAGCUCCCUACUGGACGCCUGUAGCUCUGUAACUGUACAACAACACACCCAACUAAUGUCAUCGUGUACUAUGCCAGUGACACUGCUGUGGAGCCUGAGCACCAAUAAUUCUAUUCUAUUCUCUCUAACUAGAAAACCCAAAGUGAGGAAGCGUCUGUGAGGAGGAAAGCCAAGCUUCCACUGUGGUCGACCUACUUUCACAGGAGCCAACAUCCACAGAGGGGAAAAUGGCAGAAAAUAUGGAAACCCAGCCUCAAACACUCCAUGCAAAGCCAGGGUUCACAGGCACAUAAAGAAAGGAUGACUGUUUGCUGAUCUAUCUUCAACAGUUUAUCUGUGUGUGGGUCGAAGCAGAGGUGUUCCUUCCACACAGCUGCCUCAUUCAGGUGAUACUAAAAAUGUAAUAGCACAUUCAACAUGUUCUCAUUAAUGAACACCAAUACAAGCCAAGUACCGCUGACAGAACAGAAAGUCAUUAGAAAAUCAACCAUCUGAUAUCAGGAGCUAGCUUCUCCAGGAGGGGGCAGGAGCACUGGAGUAGGAUGCUGAGACCUGAUAGGAGAGCUGUGUGUUGUGUGAAGAAAUAGAAGCUACCUGCACAGCCCGUUCUCUGGCCGGUCUGCUCUGGUCAUCAUUGAUCAUCCGGCUGACGUCUUCCCGGUCUGCACAGCCUGCUGCCUGCUUCUUACAGCAUCCUGUUCAGCAUCAAUCCCUGGCUGUAGUGCUGUGAAGAGGCUUUUACUGGGUCACACAGGUGUGGCUGAUCAGAGGUGACUGUAGCCUCUUCAGUUAUCGCUUCAACCAGCCCUUCCUUCAGAACUGCUGACUGAGGUGAGCAGACGAAACCCCAGCAGCGCUGAGUCAGCACAUUUCCACCUCUGAACCUCAGGUCAGUGGCCAAGCCUGAAGUCUGCACCGGGACACUUUUAGUGUGUCUGUGACACCAGUGGAAACAGCAUUACUGAUCCCCAGAAUAGAGACAUAGGUGUUUGAUUACAGUGACAUUUUCAGCUGCUGUUAUUAUUAUUACAUUAUUUUAAUUGAAUCAAGCAAAGAGUGAAGAAAGAGCAAAGACAGAAAGAAACACAAGAUUAAUAUUCAAAAUGUUUGAGAAGCAGAAGAUGCGGUGGAACCAAGAACAGAUGGUCUUCAUCCUGAUGAAGCUGUUCUUACAUCUACCACAGUAGAAAGGACUGAAGAAUGAAGGCACAGCUUUGUUUCUUCUUGGACAAAAUGUCUCCUUUCUGUGACUUUGUAAAAAGGUUUUUAAAAUGUCCCAGAGUGAUUUGAAAAAUCGGAUUAUUUUUAUUUACACUAAUGUCAUUAUUUGAAACCUGUUUUAUCCACUGAUACAAAAAAUGUGAUGGAAAUAAUAAGAAAACUCGCGAUAGCUCAACACUAAAAUAAUCCUUGCAUCACUGGUUUUGCUUCCUGUUCCAUUUAACUGCCUUGUGAUUGGUUGCCCCUCACAAAAAACAGGUUUUGAACAUAAGUCAGGUUCUGGAGCUGAAAACUGAAGCUAACAUGUAAAAUGACACGACACCACUAAAAGUCAGUCUUCAUGGACUCAUACUUUACUGUUAUUAAAAACCAUAUUUAAAACCAACGUACAGUUCAUGAGAUGUAUCAUUGUUGGAGUCAUCUAUGGCUUCAUUUUCAUGCUGUUGGAGCCUUUUGUUCAUUUUUUGUUGUUUUUGAUUAUAUGACAAAAAAACAAACAUCCAAGAAGUUUGUGUUUUAGUUAUCUUACUUAUUAAGCUAGCUAAUGUUACCUGAGAAAUCAGCAUUCCAACCUCUUGAGAUCAUUUCUGAGAAACACCACGACCAAAAUGCUAACACUAAAAAUCCUAAAGAUCUGGGCUUUACAUUUCAACUAUUCGUUGCUACACUUUUUAUUAAAUUUAUCUGAAUUGGAUUUUUAUAAUACCGUCUCACAACAACAGUGACCUGAAUAAACCUUUCAGAGGAGAAUCUGCGUCACCAGCUCGAUCCCCGACGGUUCAGGGGGACGAUCAGCUGGUGAAAGCCUGGAUAAAAGAAGACAUUGCUGGGAUGCUUCUGCAGGGCGAGUGGGUACAGAGUGGAAGACUACAGUGGAUGUAAGCCUCAAAAUAGCCACUGAUUCCCGGCUCAGACCCUCAGUAACAGCCCAGUGUUUACAUGCAAACAGCUAAUAAAAUGCCUGGUGAUGACCCACAACGACCCCUCUGAAAUAUACAGACGUGUGUGUCUGCAAGAAACACAUGAUAAAACAUGUCCGUCUGCGCGUGUUAGCAUAAACAUUCACGUUUACAUGAAUUCCACUAGACUGAAACAUGAUCUGGCAACAAUGAUGUCUGUCUCUGCUUGUGAGGACUCUUGUUGACAUAAUGCUACAAAUCUGGUUCUUUCCUUGUUAAGAGAUUUUUUAGGAUUUUGGGAUUUUUAUUAUGUUAUGCUUAAAAGUACGUUUCAUUAUCUCUGUG
Long non-coding RNA from Oreochromis niloticus (Nile tilapia), 3428 nucleotides. RefSeq lists it as uncharacterized. The transcript has 7 exons. Lineage: Eukaryota; Metazoa; Chordata; Actinopteri; Cichliformes; Cichlidae. The record is from RefSeq and is a predicted model, not a curated record.